GACGAACGCUGGCGGCGUGCCUAAUACAUGCAAGUCGAACGAGAGCGACCGGUGCUUGCACUGGUCAAUCUAGUGGCGAACGUGUGAGUAACACGUGGGUAACCUGCCCAUCAGAGGGGGAUAACAUCCGGAAACGGAUGCUAAAACCGCAUAGGUCUUCGAGCCGCAUGGCUUGAAGAGGAAAAGAGGCGCAAGCUUCUGCUGAUGGAUGGACCCGCGGUGCAUUAGCUAGUUGGUGAGGUAACGGCUCACCAAGGCCGUGAUGCAUAGCCGACCUGAGAGGGUGAUCGGCCACAUUGGGACUGAGACACGGCCCAAACUCCUACGGGAGGCAGCAGUAGGGAAUCUUCCGCAAUGGACGCAAGUCUGACGGAGCAACGCCGCGUGAGUGAAGAAGGUUUUCGGAUCGUAAAACUCUGUUGUUAGAGAAGAACAAGUGCUAGAGUAACUGUUAGCGCCUUGACGGUAUCUAACCAGAAAGCCACGGCUAACUACGUG
Molecule: ribosomal RNA, 498 nt
Filed under: uncultured bacterium
Lineage: Bacteria
Description: partial 16S ribosomal RNA
Rfam family: Bacterial small subunit ribosomal RNA
Source: RNAcentral